RNAcentral lists this ribosomal RNA (253 nucleotides) under uncultured bacterium. Its description in RNAcentral is "partial 16S ribosomal RNA". It matches the Rfam family "Bacterial small subunit ribosomal RNA", at positions 524 to 776 of the family's 1533-position model. The record is from RNAcentral.
GACAGAGGGUGCAAACGUUGUUCGGAAUUACUGGGUGUAAAGCGAGUGUAGGCGGUUCGAAAAGUCGGGUGUGAAAGCCCCGGGCUCAACCCGGGAAGUGCACUCGAAACUCUCGAGCUAGAGUAUCGGAGAGGUUGGUGGAAUUCUCGGUGUAGAGGUGAAAUUCGUAGAUAUCGAGAGGAACACCGGUGGCGAAGGCGGCCAACUGGACGAAUACUGACGCUGAGACUCGAAAGCGUGGGGAGCAAACAGG